RNAcentral lists this ribosomal RNA (253 nucleotides) under uncultured bacterium. RNAcentral describes it as "partial 16S ribosomal RNA". It matches the Rfam family "Bacterial small subunit ribosomal RNA", at positions 524 to 776 of the family's 1533-position model. The record is from RNAcentral.
UACGGAGGGUGCAAGCGUUAAUCGGAAUUACUGGGCGUAAAGCGCACGCAGGUGGCUGAGUCAGUCGAUUGUGAAAGCCCUGGGCUUAACCUGGGAAUUGCAGUCGAUACUACUCGGCUCGAGUAUGGGAGAGGGCAGUGGAAUUCCCGGUGUAGCGGUGAAAUGCGUAGAUAUCGGGAGGAACAUCAGUGGCGAAGGCGGCUGCCUGGCCCAAUACUGACACUCAGGUGCGAAAGCGUGGGGAGCAAACAGG